GGGCCCGCACAAGCGGUGGAGCAUGUGGUUUAAUUCGAUGAUACGCGAGGAACCUUACCAGGGCUUAAAUGUAGGUUGCAUAAGCUAGAGAUAGCUUUUUCUUCGGACUACUUACAAGGUGCUGCAUGGUUGUCGUCAGCUCGUGCCGUGAGGUGUCAGGUUAAGUCCUAUAACGAGCGCAACCCCUGUUGUUAGUUGCCAUCGAGUCAUGUCGGGAACUCUAACAAGACUGCCAGUGCAAACUGUGAGGAAGGUGGGGAUGACGUCAAAUCAUCACGGCCCUUACGUCCUGGGCUACACACGUGCUACAAUGGUAGGUACAGAGGGCAGCUACCCCGCGAGGGGAUGCGAA
This 352-nucleotide ribosomal RNA is filed under the name uncultured bacterium. RNAcentral describes it as "bacterial SSU rRNA". It matches the Rfam family "Bacterial small subunit ribosomal RNA", at positions 917 to 1271 of the family's 1533-position model. The record is from RNAcentral.